This 2902-nucleotide ribosomal RNA is filed under the name Escherichia coli. RNAcentral's name for it is "bacterial LSU rRNA". It matches the Rfam family "Bacterial large subunit ribosomal RNA". Lineage: Bacteria; Pseudomonadati; Pseudomonadota; Gammaproteobacteria; Enterobacterales; Enterobacteriaceae. The record is from RNAcentral.
UUAAGCGACUAAGCGUACACGGUGGAUGCCCUGGCAGUCAGAGGCGAUGAAGGACGUGCUAAUCUGCGAUAAGCGUCGGUAAGGUGAUAUGAACCGUUAUAACCGGCGAUUUCCGAAUGGGGAAACCCAGUGUGUUUCGACACACUAUCAUUAACUGAAUCCAUAGGUUAAUGAGGCGAACCGGGGGAACUGAAACAUCUAAGUACCCCGAGGAAAAGAAAUCAACCGAGAUUCCCCCAGUAGCGGCGAGCGAACGGGGAGGAGCCCAGAGCCUGAAUCAGUGUGUGUGUUAGUGGAAGCGUCUGGAAAGGCGCGCGAUACAGGGUGACAGCCCCGUACACAAAAAUGCACAUAUUGUGAGCUCGAUGAGUAGGGCGGGACACGUGGUAUCCUGUCUGAAUAUGGGGGGACCAUCCUCCAAGGCUAAAUACUCCUGACUGACCGAUAGUGAACCAGUACCGUGAGGGAAAGGCGAAAAGAACCCCGGCGAGGGGAGUGAAAAAGAACCUGAAACCGUGUACGUACAAGCAGUGGGAGCACGCUUCGGCGUGUGACUGCGUACCUUUUGUAUAAUGGGUCAGCGACUUAUAUUCUGUAGCAAGGUUAACCGAAUAGGGGAGCCGAAGGGAAACCGAGUCUUAACUGGGCGUUAAGUUGCAGGGUAUAGACCCGAAACCCGGUGAUCUAGCCAUGGGCAGGUUGAAGGUUGGGUAACACUAACUGGAGGACCGAACCGACUAAUGUUGAAAAAUUAGCGGAUGACUUGUGGCUGGGGGUGAAAGGCCAAUCAAACCGGGAGAUAGCUGGUUCUCCCCGAAAGCUAUUUAGGUAGCGCCUCGUGAAUUCAUCUCCGGGGGUAGAGCACUGUUUCGGCAAGGGGGUCAUCCCGACUUACCAACCCGAUGCAAACUGCGAAUACCGGAGAAUGUUAUCACGGGAGACACACGGCGGGUGCUAACGUCCGUCGUGAAGAGGGAAACAACCCAGACCGCCAGCUAAGGUCCCAAAGUCAUGGUUAAGUGGGAAACGAUGUGGGAAGGCCCAGACAGCCAGGAUGUUGGCUUAGAAGCAGCCAUCAUUUAAAGAAAGCGUAAUAGCUCACUGGUCGAGUCGGCCUGCGCGGAAGAUGUAACGGGGCUAAACCAUGCACCGAAGCUGCGGCAGCGACGCUUAUGCGUUGUUGGGUAGGGGAGCGUUCUGUAAGCCUGUGAAGGUGUGCUGUGAGGCAUGCUGGAGGUAUCAGAAGUGCGAAUGCUGACAUAAGUAACGAUAAAGCGGGUGAAAAGCCCGCUCGCCGGAAGACCAAGGGUUCCUGUCCAACGUUAAUCGGGGCAGGGUGAGUCGACCCCUAAGGCGAGGCCGAAAGGCGUAGUCGAUGGGAAACAGGUUAAUAUUCCUGUACUUGGUGUUACUGCGAAGGGGGGACGGAGAAGGCUAUGUUGACCGGGCGACGGUUGUCCCGGUUUAAGCGUGUAGGCUGGUUUUCCAGGCAAAUCCGGAAAAUCAAGGCUGAGGCGUGAUGACGAGGCACUACGGUGCUGAAGCAACAAAUGCCCUGCUUCCAGGAAAAGCCUCUAAGCAUCAGGUAACAUCAAAUCGUACCCCAAACCGACACAGGUGGUCAGGUAGAGAAUACCAAGGCGCUUGAGAGAACUCGGGUGAAGGAACUAGGCAAAAUGGUGCCGUAACUUCGGGAGAAGGCACGCUGAUAUGUAGGUGAAGCGACUUGCUCGUGGAGCUGAAAUCAGUCGAAGAUACCAGCUGGCUGCAACUGUUUAUUAAAAACACAGCACUGUGCAAACACGAAAGUGGACGUAUACGGUGUGACGCCUGCCCGGUGCCGGAAGGUUAAUUGAUGGGGUCAGCGCAAGCGAAGCUCUUGAUCGAAGCCCCGGUAAACGGCGGCCGUAACUAUAACGGUCCUAAGGUAGCGAAAUUCCUUGUCGGGUAAGUUCCGACCUGCACGAAUGGCGUAAUGAUGGCCAGGCUGUCUCCACCCGAGACUCAGUGAAAUUGAACUCGCUGUGAAGAUGCAGUGUACCCGCGGCAAGACGGAAAGACCCCGUGAACCUUUACUAUAGCUUGACACUGAACAUUGAGCCUUGAUGUGUAGGAUAGGUGGGAGGCUUUGAAGUGUGGACGCCAGUCUGCAUGGAGCCGACCUUGAAAUACCACCCUUUAAUGUUUGAUGUUCUAACGUUGACCCGUAAUCCGGGUUGCGGACAGUGUCUGGUGGGUAGUUUGACUGGGGCGGUCUCCUCCUAAAGAGUAACGGAGGAGCACGAAGGUUGGCUAAUCCUGGUCGGACAUCAGGAGGUUAGUGCAAUGGCAUAAGCCAGCUUGACUGCGAGCGUGACGGCGCGAGCAGGUGCGAAAGCAGGUCAUAGUGAUCCGGUGGUUCUGAAUGGAAGGGCCAUCGCUCAACGGAUAAAAGGUACUCCGGGGAUAACAGGCUGAUACCGCCCAAGAGUUCAUAUCGACGGCGGUGUUUGGCACCUCGAUGUCGGCUCAUCACAUCCUGGGGCUGAAGUAGGUCCCAAGGGUAUGGCUGUUCGCCAUUUAAAGUGGUACGCGAGCUGGGUUUAGAACGUCGUGAGACAGUUCGGUCCCUAUCUGCCGUGGGCGCUGGAGAACUGAGGGGGGCUGCUCCUAGUACGAGAGGACCGGAGUGGACGCAUCACUGGUGUUCGGGUUGUCAUGCCAAUGGCACUGCCCGGUAGCUAAAUGCGGAAGAGAUAAGUGCUGAAAGCAUCUAAGCACGAAACUUGCCCCGAGAUGAGUUCUCCCUGACCCUUUAAGGGUCCUGAAGGAACGUUGAAGACGACGACGUUGAUAGGCCGGGUGUGUAAGCGCAGCGAUGCGUUGAGCUAACCGGUACUAAUGAACCGUGAGGCUUAACCUU